CGUGUAGGCGGUCAGGUAAGUGGAAUGUGAAAUGCCCCGGCUCACCCGGGGACCGGCAUCCCAAACUGCCUGGCUUGAGUAUGGGAGAGGAUGGAGGAAUUCCUGGUGUAGCGGUGAAAUGCGUAGAUAUCAGGAGGAACACCGGUGGCGAAGGCGUCCAUCUGGCCCAAUACUGACGCUGAGGCACGAAAGCUAGGGGAGCAAACGG
RNAcentral lists this ribosomal RNA (208 nucleotides) under uncultured Latescibacterota bacterium. RNAcentral's name for it is "uncultured Latescibacteria bacterium partial 16S ribosomal RNA". It matches the Rfam family "Bacterial small subunit ribosomal RNA", at positions 568 to 775 of the family's 1533-position model. The record is from RNAcentral. Lineage: Bacteria; Pseudomonadati; Candidatus Latescibacterota.